GACGAACGCUGGCGGCGUGCUUAACACAUGCAAGUCGAGCGGAGCGGCGAACGGGAGAGUAAAGCGUGAGUAACUGCCCCCCUCUCUGGGAUAACAGUUGGAAAGGGCUACUAAUACCAGCUAGUGGGGGAUGACUCGGGUCCUAUCAGCUUGUUGGUGGGGUAGUGGCCUACCAAGGCGACGACGGGUAGCCGGCCUGGGAGGGCGACCGGCCACAUGGGGCUGAGGUACUGGCCAAACGCGUACUGGAGGCAGCAGUGGCGAAUCUUGCACAAUGGGGGAAACCCUGAUGAAGCAACGCGCGUGCGGAAUGACGGGUUUUGGGUUGUGAACCGGUUUCAGCGAUGACGCGGUAGUUGCAGAAGAAGCACCGGCUAACUACGUGCCAGCAGCCGCGGUAAUUC
RNAcentral lists this ribosomal RNA (404 nucleotides) under uncultured bacterium. Its description in RNAcentral is "partial 16S ribosomal RNA". It matches the Rfam family "Bacterial small subunit ribosomal RNA", at positions 28 to 526 of the family's 1533-position model. The record is from RNAcentral.